This 88-nucleotide transfer RNA is filed under the name Bacteroidetes bacterium ADurb.Bin302. RNAcentral describes it as "tRNA-Ser". It matches the Rfam family "tRNA". Rfam says of the family: Transfer RNA (tRNA) molecules are approximately 80 nucleotides in length. Their secondary structure includes four short double-helical elements and three loops (D, anti-codon, and T loops). The record is from RNAcentral. Lineage: Bacteria; Pseudomonadati; Bacteroidota.
GGAAAGAUGCCAGAGUGGUCGAAUGGGCCGCACUCGAAAUGCGGUGAACGGGUAACUGUUCCGGGGGUUCGAAUCCCUCUCUUUCCGC